This 6218-nucleotide long non-coding RNA is filed under the name Gallus gallus (chicken). The record is from RNAcentral. Lineage: Eukaryota; Metazoa; Chordata; Aves; Galliformes; Phasianidae.
UACAUAUUCAUGUUCAACACUUGGUAUUUUGUAACGAAGUGUACUUCUUUCAUGAAAUAAACAUGAAGAUAGUCUUUUUCCCAAGCUGAAUUUUAGCGAUUGGCUUCAUGGGUAUUUCUUUGCAAGUGUGAAAACUACAGGAGUUCAGCUGCAUUUUCAAACUUCUAUGCUACUAUCUUGAGUAAUGCGCUCUUAUCAGAGAUCCUACAGGUAUCUGAGGAGGUGCAGUAGUACUUUAAAAGCAUUUGUUUCUUUAGUGAUGUGCAGUGCUAACAUGAAAAAGUCCCAUGCUUUGGCUUGAUAUGCUUUUCAUUAGAACUCCUUGGAGGUCAAAUGGUGCCAAAUUGGGUCCCAAAGGCACAGAACAGAAGAGUUCACUCAAGUUUACACAAUACAGAAAUGCUUUCUGCAUAUGGCUUUACGUCGAAUGCUUUGAAAUAUUUUUUCUCACAUAAAAUUCACCAUAAUUUUUUCAAAGCACGGUGACUUCUAAGGGGCUGGGUGAUUUAUUUUUUGUCCUGUACUUUUCCUUUGCUUUACAGAAUAUUUAAUUAUCAAAGGUCCUUCUGUUAGUGUGCCUUUUGAAACAAGUUCAGGAUCCUUCUGACAGCUGUCAUUUUUUAUACGCUGCUCCCCAUUACCUGCAGCAAAUCUCUGCUGCUCCAGCUUGCUUUUCUCUGAUCGUACUCAGGCACGAGAGGAGGUGCAGCCUUCCAAGCCCGGUCCUUGCAUUUUUUAAGGAAGCCAGAUGGUGUGUGCCACAUGUAAUUUGUGUCAGAACUGACUAACUCUGCACUGCUGCAGCAUUUUUUUUUCAUGUAUGGUGGAUCUCAUCUCAUAACGGUUGAUGUAUUUCACAGCUGUCUUGGUUAAAGGACAGUAAAAAAAGCAGCAGGUCCUCAGUCGCAGAGACUCGAUAGGAUAAGACAGCUCUGUCUUAUGCUAGCACUAUACAAAUAGCAUCUACUUCAGUAUGGUUAACAUUAAAUUCUCCUUGCCAUACCAACACAGACAAUUUUCCUGGGAGAUGGAAGGUGAUGCUACUUUGCUCCCCCUCUAGCACCUCUGGGGAUGUUCAGCACCUGCGUUGUGCUCUGGUUAAUCACAGCACAGGCAUAAAAGUGAUUUGUUUCAAUUGAUCAGAAUCUAUGAAAUUAAGCUAUGUUUCUGUGAAACAUAUCGUUUGAGUCUGUAGUAUGAUGGAUGAGAAUUAGUUCCAUUGCAGCUGAAAAGACCAUUUUAUAAGACAGUGAACCACAACAAAGGCAGAAGUAUGGGUAGAAUACAUAGUUUGCUUCAAUGCAGAAGUCGCAUCGAGGCACAGUAUUUUCAUAUGUGACAGCAUCCUUUUCAGAGGAAAAAGCAGAAAGAUUAAACAGAGGGAAUGUUGUAACGUGUUUAAUCCGCUAAAGUAGGCUCCUCUCCUUGAUAAGACGCACUUUGAUGAGAAGAAUUUGAGAUCAUUUCAGAUGAUAGAAGGUGAAAUGUUCAUGGCAGAGACUACAAAGCAGCACUGUUUCUUUUGCAGGUGCUUGAGCAUCAGUGUUUAUUAGUCGUAUAUCACAGGAAAGUCCAUUUGGGUAACAUAAAUAACCUAUUCCAUGUUUGAAAAAGCAGAACAAAGUUAUGAAAUCAAGAUGCUGAUUUUAGCACUGCUCUGUGGUACAUUUAGCAUGCCCCCAUGCAGACUAGCAAGUAUGUUUUUUAGUUUCAAUCUUAUCUGAACUUAUUAGAUGAAACAUUGCAUUUUUUGAGCAACCUUACAUUAUCUCGACUGUAUAAAAGAUUAAGAGCCUGUGGGGUUGUACUGAGUAGCUGAAACAUUUUUCUACCAGUUUCAGUGUUACAGUCGAAUACAGUGCACUGAACUUUGGUUGUCUUGCUUUUGUUCCACACAGAGAUAAAUUCUCUAUACUGUUGUCCUCUUUCCCUUGCCCAAACAGAAAGCUUCCCACUGUGCAAGGAUAUAUCAUAAAAGAUGACAAUAUGGAAUCCCUGCUUUUGAAACGUUUUAUGAACUCAUAACUUUAUAGCAGACUGGAAGAAGCAAAAGAGCACAUGAAUACAUAACUGUUGAUAGAAUCAAAAAUGAAGAUUUUAACCCUGUAAUCUUUAUUUCACUAUACUGUUGAAGUUAAUAGGUGUUACUCCUGGUACUUGUAAAACAGUGUGGCGAGUUGUUUUAUUAUUCAUAAAGUUAAUGAAUAAGUAACCACAGAUUCUUAAUCCUGUUUUAUUCAAUCCCAGCCAAUACCUGUAAUUUUUAUCAAAUUGUGAAUUUGGCGUUCAGUACAUCUGCAUUUCCAUGCUACCUUUAAAUCUUGUUUGUGUGUUUAGGGGUGUGAAGGACUGUGCAUGGGGUUAGUGCUAUAGAUGGGUCGCAUAGGACAGGGAGGCUGUACAUGUAGGUGGUUUUCUAGCAUACUGAUAGUUCUGAGGUCUGACUGUGAUACCAUGAAACGUCAGGAGCCACUACAUCAAAACACUGCAGUAGAUUUUAAUUUUGGUGUGGACUUUGUAAAACACUCCUGUGGAGGAAGUCAGUUACACCUGCAUCUACCUGGCAGAAUGUGUUAGUACCUCUUGCCUAGCUGUACCUUUAUCUGCGUAUAUUUGGGUGGAGUAGUUGUAUAUAAAAAACAUACACACCCACACAUAUUUUUAUUUGAAGAAUUGAAUUGAGAACAUUUGUGUGGAAUGAAAUUAGAUCUUGCUUCCAAAAAAUCUGUUUUUAAAUCUUACGGCUUUGUUAUGGUUGCAUGUUUUAUGUUACGUGAAUUAUGUCCUUUAAUGUGAAUAUCUGGAAGAUACAUUCACCAUCGGAUUUAACUUGCAUUUUGGAAUGUCCACAGAAAAGGAAUCAGCAGAGCAGUAAUAAAACCCAGGCAUUUACUAAAUUUCUUUCUGACACAUCUGUGAGCAGUAAAGAGAUGCAGGGUUUUACCAGAUCCGAACAUUCUAUCAUAAGGGAAGCUUUACAAGGGCAGGAACAACAGCACUUUGAAAACAUUCCCUGAAUUGCCACAAACUCAAGACUUACUACUGGAAUCCUUAGAUAAAUAUAGAAUGAAAUUUCUUAUUGCAAGGCAUGUCGAAGUAAAACAAACACGCUUUCAUAUACAGUUUUUUUCCACCUCAGAGGUAUGUCAGGUGACAUAGAGGCACGUUAAUUGAAGUUGAUGGUUAAAGGCUUGAUUUCCAGGCUCUGAGUCACUACAGGUGCAUCUCUUUGUGGUUAUUGGUAAUGACGGACUGAGGUUGUCAACAUAGCAGAAGAAGACAUCGUGGAUAUACAAAAUCUGUGUUUCUGGCCUAUUACAGCUUCUGUAUUUUUCUCUUUAGCUUAGCAUCUCACAGAUGCUGACAAGUUAAUUUAGAGUUGGUGUCUGUUUCUUUUUUCAACAGUAUUAGAAAAGGAUGUUAAUCAGAGCAGCAUCAAAAGACACAGACGUCCCCUUAGUUUGUAAAGCUUUAGUUCUGCAGUCAUAGAUAAACUGUGCUUUCACUACAUGGGAUGAAGAAUGCUGCAUUGAUCAUGGGGUAAAAUUUAUUGUUUUGUUGUUUUUAUCUCUGCUUAAUGCCCUGAAAGCAUAUUCAGUCUUUCAGUGAAGUUUUGUCUGAUGCAGGAUUGAAAAAUAACAUUACAAAAAUAAAAAAGUGUAUUGCAGUACGAAAAACUUUCCUGUUUUUCAGCCACAUCACUACCAACUACACUUACUGAAUUGAAUUUGGAGUGAAUCUGCACAUGGAAGGCUUUCUCUCUUCCUUUGCUUUUGUCACUGGGGAAGCCAAAGUAUAAGAAAAUUACUAGAGUGUUGAUUCUGUGCCCAGAACGUUUAAAUUCACGGGAUGCCAGGAAAAUCAAAUAUGCACAUCAGCAGGAUACCAACAGUUGGUCAGAUGGUAAAAUAGUUAGCAGUUUUUACCAGCAAGUCAGGCUGCAGAGAGGGUAGGUUUUUUGCUUCUUAUGCAAAGAUCUUCAGGCUGUAUCUAUUCACGUACAGUUUCUGAACUCGAAGGCAGAAGGGAUUUUAGCAUGGGUAUUAUUAGACUGGAAGUAAGUCAUACUGGCACAAAAUAAGUGAGAUUAGAAGGGGGCCUACAGGAAAACUGGAGAGGAACUUUGCAUAAGGGCGGGUAGCGACAGGAUGAGGGGAAAUGGCUUUAAACUCAAAGAGAAUAGUUUUUGACUAGAUAUUAGGAAGAAAUUCUUUACUGUGAGAGUGGUGAGACGCUGGAACCAGUUGCCCAGAGAGGCUGUGGAUGCCCCCUCCCUGGAAGUGUUCAAGGCCAGGCUGGAUGGGGCUUUGAGCAACCUGGUCUAGAGGGAGGUGUCCCUGCCUAUAGCAGGGGAGGUGGAACUAUACAUGGUCUUAAAGGUCCCUUCCAACCCAAAUCAUUCUAUAAUUCUGUAAUAGACAAUAAAUGUUAUAUUUGAGGGUGAUGGCUCAUAUCUUCAGUAUGAGGUGCUUCAAUUCUUAAUGGCCUUUGAAGCUCAGCCUGUUGCUUUCUUUCUGGUGUGUGGGUGCUUGUAACAAGGACCUGGACCUGAAGUGACUCUUUAGGAGCAAUGCUAGAAACCAGGUCAGUCUGCUUUGUUAGGGAAGAAUAUCUAAGAAGGAGUCCUUCAAAAGCUCUAAGUAAAUUAUUUGAAAAGGAGUUUUGCACUAACAUUAGGUAAAAAAUUAGGCUCUAAAGUUGAGGUUAUAUCUUGUUUAGUUUUGAAGAAGACAAACUCUAAAACUUUUUUUUUAGUUUCCAUAUUGAAGUCCACCAAAGUAUCAAAGGCUAAUUCCAAAAAUUUGUAAGCAAUUAUGUGGUGAUGAUAUGAUAAAUAGAAAAUGUGACUUAACUUUGUGAGCAAUAGAAGGAGGAGGUGAACUCCUGUGUUUGGUUUCCAGGUUGGUCAGGGAGAAGUAAUUGCUGUGAUGCCUAAAUUAGAAAUCAGAACUCUGGGUUUACUGUGCUUAACCUCAGCUACACCCAUGGUGUCCUCACAGUGACCUCCCCAUUUGCUUAUGAAUAAUAACUCAUCAAGGAGCCAACUGGACAUUUUAUUUGGAAUUCUUUAAUAUAGUGCAGUUAGAAGCUUCAAAGCAACCACUAAAGAAAGCCGGGCUAGUAAUACCAACCGCAUGGAGAGGUGGUGUUUCUGUUAAAUGUACCUUCAGGUAAUGAGGCAGAGCUUUUUUCUAGUAAGGAUUCCUCAGCUCACAUCUUUUCUGUCCAGAAUAAUCCUCAAUUCUCAAAGAUUUGCAGUUUACCUGUGUGACUCCUGCAUGUUACUGAAAAAAUGUUCUUUUUAAUGCCUAAAAAUCAUAGCUUGAAUGGGAUCAUUCUUGUUUAAAAUGGGGAAAAAAGAUAAUCUAGCUGAUUUUUGUAUUUUCUGUACUUUAUCAAAGAGCACCCAUGCUGGGCAGCAUGCUGAGCAUCUUUUGAAGGGUCUUCAGGUUCUUCUGAAACGAGCAGGAACAUGGGGAAUUAGUCCCCUUUUUAAUGUGCCACCAAGGUGAUGAUACUUUCCUUGCUUUUUUGAAGUGCUGAAUACUGCUGUUCAUUCCUUCCGUGCCAGAUUUAAAACUAUAUAACACUUAAUUCAUCAGCAGAUCGAUGCUCUUGAAGGCCAAGGCCAUCUAAUGUUAUAGUAAUAACGAAGAGUCCUUUUGUGGUGUGUGGAUGAGUUUUAUUUUAGAUUAAGAUGGGUGCUGACGUCUGUUGAUGUUUACUGAGAACAUAAAAAAGAAAGAGGCUAAAUAUUUUCUAGCACUGUGCCUACCUUUGGCAAUAGGAAGGCAAUAAGAAACUUCCCAGAUGGUGUGUAGCUCCCACAGAGUACAGGCUGAGUUUAGUCUUCUCUGGCAGCAAGAGCCCUAGAAGAUUCAGAGAUACUGAAUAUGUUCUCCAAUAUUUAUUUUUUUUUUUAGAUAAACAAGAAAGUGUUAAAAUAGAUGGCAGAGCAUGGUUAAGCAACACUGCAGGAAGACAACUUCAGACUACUUGGCCUUUGAAAUCCCCUAGGAGCUGUGCUUUAGAAAACUGGACUUCAAUAUGCCAUAGCAAUGCUGUGGUCAGGCCCUACUCAAUCAGACGCAGCUGGAAAAAUUCCUAUUUAAUUCAAGUACCAAAAAUAGUUCAACGAGCUGAACACAUAACAAGUCAGGCAUAUUUUGGAAAAGUACUCAAAAAAUACCUAAUAUAACAUACCAGCUAUGUAUUUA